GUUUAAUAUAACUGCAUGACAGAUAACAUCUGAUCACAUUGUAAAGAUUUAAUAUAACUGCACAACAUCUGAUCACAUUGUAAAGAUUUAAUAUAACUGCACAACAUCUGAUCACAUUGUAAAGGUUUAAUAUAACUGCAUGGCAGGUAAUAUCUGAUCACAUUAUAAAGGUUUAAUAUAAAUGCACAACAGAUCACAUUGUAAAUGUUUAAUAUCACUGCAUGACAUCUGAUCACAUAUGAAGGUUUAAAUGUAACUUUACAACAGGUAAAAUCAGGUCAAA
Molecule: non-coding RNA, 283 nt
Organism: Paramisgurnus dabryanus
Lineage: Eukaryota; Metazoa; Chordata; Actinopteri; Cypriniformes; Cobitidae
Source: RefSeq, a predicted model, not a curated record